Molecule: ribosomal RNA, 506 nt
Filed under: uncultured bacterium
Lineage: Bacteria
Description: partial 16S ribosomal RNA
Rfam family: Bacterial small subunit ribosomal RNA
Source: RNAcentral
ACUCAAAUGAAUUGACGGGGGCUCACACAAGCGGUGGAGCAUGUUGCUUAAUUCGAGGCAACGCGAAGAACCUUACCUGGGUUUGACAUGUACGGAUCAACUCUAUGAAAGUAGAGCCACAGUCGCAAGACCGGAACGUGCACAGGUGCUGCAUGGCUGUCGUCAGCUCGUGCUGUGAAGUGUCGGGUUAAGUCCCUUAACGAGCGCAACCCCUAUCGUUAGUUGCCACCAGGUCAUGCUGAGCACUCUAACGAGACUGCCGGCGUUAAGCCGGAGGAAGGUGGGGAUGACGUCAAGUCCUCAUGGCCCUUACAUCCAGGGUUGCAAACGUGCUACAAUGGUGCAUACAGAGCGAUGCAAGAGCGCAAGCUGGAGCAAAUCGCAAAAAGUGCACCCCAGUUCGGAUUGCGGGCUGCAACCCGCCCGCAUGAAGUCGGAAUCGCUAGUAAUCGGAGAUCAGCUACGCUCCGGUGAAUAAGUUCCUGAGCCUUGUACACACCGCCCGU